CCUACGGGAGGCAGCAGUGAGGAAUAUUGGUCAAUGGGCGCUAGCCUGAACCAGCCAAGUAGCGUGAAGGAUGACUGCCCUAUGGGUUGUAAACUUCUUUUAUAUGGGAAUAAAGUGCAGUAUGUAUACUGCUUUGCAUGUACCUUAUGAAUAAGGAUCGGCUAACUCCGUGCCAGCAGCCGCGGUAAUACGGAGGAUCCGAGCGUUAUCCGGAUUUAUUGGGUUUAAAGGGAGCGUAGAUGGGUUGUUAAGUCAGUUGUGAAAGUUUGCGGCUCAACCGUAAAAUUGCAAUUGAUACUGGCAGUCUUGAGUACAGUUGAGGUAGGCGGAAUUCGUGGUGUAGCGGUGAAAUGCUUAGAUAUCACGAAGAACUCCGAUUGCGAAGGCAGCUUACUAAACUGCCACUGACAUUGAUGCUCGAAAGUGUGGGUAUCAAACAGGAUUAGAUACCCGAGUAGUC
This 460-nucleotide ribosomal RNA is filed under the name uncultured bacterium. RNAcentral's name for it is "partial 16S ribosomal RNA". It matches the Rfam family "Bacterial small subunit ribosomal RNA", at positions 338 to 795 of the family's 1533-position model. The record is from RNAcentral.